UAGUCCUAGCCGUAAACGAUGGGCACUAGGCAAUGGGCCCUCCUAUGAGGUUCAUUGCCGUAGCUAAUGUGUUAAGUGCCCCGCCUGGGGAGUACGCUCGCAAGGGUAAAACUCAAAGGAAUUGACGGGGGAUCACACAAGCGGUGGAGCAUGUUGUUUAAUUCGAAGCAACGCGAAGAACCUUACCAGGCCUUGACAUGGAUGGAUUAGCUCCCUGAAAGGGGAGUGACUGCUCUUCGGAGCCGGAACAUUCACAGGUGUUGCAUGGCUGUCGUCAGCUCGUGCCGUGAGGUGUUGGGUUAAGUCCCGUAACGAGCGAAACCCUUAUUGUUAGUUGCCAGCGGGUAAUGCCGGGGACUCUAGCGAGACUGCCGUUGUCAAAACGGAGGAAGGUGGGGACGACGUCAAGUCAUCAUGGCCCUUAUGGCCUGGGCUACAAACGUGCUACAAUGGUCCAUACAAAGAGUUCCGAAGCCGCGAGGUGUAGGCAAUCUCAUCAAAGUGGGCCCCAGUUCGGAUUGC
This 522-nucleotide ribosomal RNA is filed under the name uncultured bacterium. RNAcentral's name for it is "bacterial SSU rRNA". It matches the Rfam family "Bacterial small subunit ribosomal RNA", at positions 791 to 1301 of the family's 1533-position model. The record is from RNAcentral.